AAUUCACUAUAACUCCUUGGAUUACAGCCGGUUGUUUUACAAGCUCACAACCCAACUUGUUGUUUUACGAGCUCAUAACGAACUCGGUCGGUUUUUCCAGGCUCACCGACUAGAACCACCCCGAUUGUUUUCCCGGGAUCACAAUCGAACCCUUACACGUUGGUUUUACCCUCGGCUCACCAACCAACCUCUACACUCUUGAUUCAAUCCCCUGAUUGAAUCAAGCAAAGACAAGAUGGAAAGAACAAGGACAAACAGAAAAACAGAGCUUCUAAAAAGCAGAUAUACAGCAAUAUAAACUAGAGAGAAGUUAAGAGCCCUCAAACACUUUUGAGUUGGAGUAGAGAAGGACUUCUUGAACUGUGAGUCUCUUCUUGAAUGUCUGGUCGACUUGAAGGCAGGAGGAGACUUCUUUAAAUGCUGGGAAGAGGUAGCUGGAUGGAGUUAAUGGCGCUCUUCCUUCUUUUCUGUUGAAAACCAGUUGGCAGAGAUAGGAUGCUUGAUUUCUUUGAGUGGAAUGGUGCUUCUCUUCCUUGCUACAGUCCUCUGUGGCUAUUUAAGCCAUCCCCCACGGAAACUAGCCGUUAGACACUUUUUUCUGCCCGUUCUGCACACUC
RNAcentral lists this long non-coding RNA (617 nucleotides) under Phoenix dactylifera (date palm). Its description in RNAcentral is "long non-coding RNA (PDAC_LNC008950)". Lineage: Eukaryota; Viridiplantae; Streptophyta; Magnoliopsida; Arecales; Arecaceae. The record is from RNAcentral.